UAAUAGCACAUUGUUGCGGUGAGCUGU
RNAcentral lists this small RNA (27 nucleotides) under Bombyx mori (domestic silkworm). Its description in RNAcentral is "ovarian small RNA-19577". Lineage: Eukaryota; Metazoa; Arthropoda; Insecta; Lepidoptera; Bombycidae. The record is from RNAcentral.